RNAcentral lists this ribosomal RNA (786 nucleotides) under Triticum aestivum (bread wheat). RNAcentral's name for it is "partial small subunit ribosomal RNA". Lineage: Eukaryota; Viridiplantae; Streptophyta; Magnoliopsida; Poales; Poaceae. The record is from RNAcentral.
AUGACAUUUAUUGGAUCCUCCUAUGGUAAGCUCAUCUACUACUGCAACGGAUACUGUCGCAUCAUCGAUGUGUUCACCGGCGACGAGGUCUCGACUCCACGUCUCCCAUCCCGUGCUGGAUGUUCAAAACUUCACUUGGCUGGCAUUCUAACAGCCCCACUUGCAUCACCCAACUCACAUCUCCUUGUCAGUACCGAGUCCUUCCUGCUUGAUCUGCGUGUUGGAAACGACUCUUGGUCCGAACUCCAGCUUCCUUGUCAGUUUGUAAUAGACCAUUUUGUGGAGUUGGAUGGUCAGCUCAUUGUCUCGAAUAGCUAUGGGAGAUCCUACGCUCUGCAGCUGGCCCCUCAGCAUGGCCUGCAGGAGAUAAAAACCAAGCCUGUGGGAGGAAAGCCGGUGGUAGGAAGGCUGGUGGUUUGUGGUGAUAUACUUCUCAUUCUCAGUUUUGGCGAGUUCCACCGCCUCGACAUGUCAACUGAGCCCGCGACACGGGUGGCCGUGGAGAAGCUGGGCGAGCGGGCACUCUUUGUAGGGGCGGAAGCGAAGAGCUCGGCACUUUCUUGCAUGAGCCCGGAGCUAUGGGGAGGAAGGAGCGACAUCGUGUACUUUGCUCGUACAGCUCGACCUUGGUUUCUCUAUAGGCUGUGUGGCAGGCCAGAUCGCUUGCAGGAUAGACCAACACGACCAACACGCGUUGAACCCGCAGGCUUUGGAAGCACCCCAGUGCAGUCAUCAGUUCGGCCGCUCUGGCUGUACCCAAGCAUGUUCUACUCGGAUGGCCAAUGA